GACGAACGCUGGCGGCGUGCUUAACACGUGCAAGUCGAACGGAAAGGCCCUGCUUUUGUGGGGUGCUCGAGUGGCGAACGGGUGAGUAACACGUGAGUAACCUGCCCUUGACUUUGGGAUAACUUCAGGAAACUGGGGCUAAUACAGGAUAGGAGCUCCUGCUGCACGGUGGGGGUUGGAAAGAUUCGGCGGUUGGGGAUGGACUCGCGGCUUAUCAGCUUGUUGGUGGGGUAGUGGCUUACCAAGGCUUUGACGGGUAGCCGGCCUGAGAGGGGGACCGGCCACAUUGGGACUGAGAUACGGCCCAGACUCCUACGGGAGGCAGCAGUGGGGAAUAUUGCACAAUGGGCGGAAGCCUGAUGCAGCAACGCCGCGUGCGGGAUGACGGCCUUCUGGUUGUAAACCGCUUUCGCCUGUGACGAAGCGUGAGUGACGGUAAUGGGUAAAGAAGCACCGGCUAACUACGUG
RNAcentral lists this ribosomal RNA (468 nucleotides) under uncultured bacterium. RNAcentral's name for it is "partial 16S ribosomal RNA". It matches the Rfam family "Bacterial small subunit ribosomal RNA", at positions 28 to 507 of the family's 1533-position model. The record is from RNAcentral.